Molecule: transfer RNA, 72 nt
Filed under: Thermomonospora echinospora
Lineage: Bacteria; Bacillati; Actinomycetota; Actinomycetes; Streptosporangiales; Thermomonosporaceae
Description: Actinomadura echinospora tRNA
Rfam family: tRNA
About the family: Transfer RNA (tRNA) molecules are approximately 80 nucleotides in length.
Source: Rfam by way of RNAcentral
GGCCCCGUUGACCAUGGGUUAGGUUGCGAGGUUUUCACCCGCGCAGAAGCGGGUUCGAGUCCCGCCGGGCUG